GGGAAUGUGGCUUAGUGGUAGAGUGCUUGUCUAGCAUGCAUGAAGCCCUGAGUUCGAUUUCUCAGUGCUGCAA
Non-coding RNA from Dipodomys ordii (Ord's kangaroo rat), 73 nucleotides. Lineage: Eukaryota; Metazoa; Chordata; Mammalia; Rodentia; Heteromyidae. The record is from Rfam.